GGUGACACUCAAAAGAAGGAACUCUCCUUUUUCUACAGUGUCAUCUGCCAUUACGUUUUAGUUCCUAUUUCUUCUGUGGAAGCCCCUCCCCUUCUAGAGAAUGAAAUAUUUUGAUGAAUAUUAAGAGGUAAAAUAUAUUUCCCCAAAGGAGAAAUGAAGAAACAUGUUCUUAGAGACAGAAAGCAGCCCCUUCCUUAAUAGCUCCCAGCAGAUUUUGUGCCCAUUAAGACUAUUCACAAACAAAACACCUUCACCUCUGGGGGAGCUCUGUUGAAAUCUCCAUGACUACCAAAUGAAAUGACAGCCUAUUUUACGAUCCACUUUCAAAUGUCUAUAACCAUGUUAGUUCGCUUAUCUUACUUUUUUCCUCCACUUCAGUGGGGGGUUGCUACCCACCCGCCAUCAAAUACGAUACACAGUAGUAGCAGUGGUGGGAUGCUCUGCCCACCCGCCAUCAAAUACGAUCUGCGCAUGUGCAGAAGCGAACCGGUAGCAAAGGAUCAUCUUCAAGGUUGAAUCAGUAAAGCUCACUGGGUCAUUCUGUGGGGACACCAGGUUCAAAUUCACACAGACUUAGCAUUUGGUUUUCAAAGCAGCUCAUGAAUGAAGGCGUUUAAACUUUUCAAAAGAAAUCUACACUUACCUGGCAAGGUGGCCCCAGUUGGAUCCUCCUGAAAAGGUGGUCUUUAGAAUCAUUGGAUGGAUCUCCUCUUCCCUGGAGCUCUGCUGAGAUCUCCUCAAUGAAUGGCUCCUGCACCUGAAAAAAAGACUUUAACCAUGUUAGUUCACUUAAGUUUUUCCUCUCCACAUGUAUUUUUCCAAUUCAAAUCAAAAUGAGAGAAUUUGAGAACUCCUACUCUGUGGGUUGCUGUUAUUUCUGGAUAAACGCCUGCCACUUUUAAACAGCCUUAGUAGGGGGAGCCGCCUGUCGAGAGCCCCUCGACAACUCACCGCAUAGCAGCCUGACCUCGACCUCCUAGACAGCCACCUGGGGCUUGCUACAAGUCAGCGGCAAAGCGGCAAAUGACCAGGGUGGGCUGGGCAAUGUACACUUCACGCUGGGUGACGGGGGUGUUAGAUUAACGCAGGCGGCCGGUCACGCAGCGGACGGGUUAGGAGCUGCUAGACUCUGAUGUUUCUCGCCGACUUUCGGCGUCAUGGCCCUGUGUGCAUGCGCUGUGGCCGCGCAACCCGAAAGGGCGUACAUUUCAGUGGCGCGAGAAUUUAAAAGGCGUUGGGAGGCAGCCGCUCCCAACGCCGACUUUGUGCAUGUUGCACUCACAUCACCCACCGGCAUCGUUGUGCGCAGAACGAAUUAAAGGAAUCACACACGUAGAA
Molecule: non-coding RNA, 1338 nt
Organism: Pantherophis guttatus
Lineage: Eukaryota; Metazoa; Chordata; Lepidosauria; Squamata; Colubridae
Source: RefSeq, a predicted model, not a curated record